This 3026-nucleotide long non-coding RNA is filed under the name Sus scrofa (pig). RNAcentral describes it as "lncRNA (ENSSSCG00050002099.1)". Lineage: Eukaryota; Metazoa; Chordata; Mammalia; Artiodactyla; Suidae. The record is from RNAcentral.
UUUUUUUUUUUUUUUUGGUCAUGUCGCAUCCUGUUGGCCCUUUAUAAAUAUCGGUCUUUACUCAGAUGUACGUGGUUAUUCCCAUAAAGAUACAGUUGACUGUGUUCUUAGGAUAAAAUACAUAGGCAUUCCCUGGGGGCCUAGCCGUUAAGGACUUGACAUGGAUCAUCACGGCUGUGACUCAGGUUCAGUCCCUGGCCUGGGAACCUCCACCCUCUAUGGGCGCAGCCAAAAACAAACAAACAAACAAAAAACAAACAAAAAAAAAGAUAAAAUCCAUCAACAUUUCCAAGUGUAGAUGCACAUGUUCAUGAAAAGGGAAAGAAAAUGCUCGCUAGCAUUUGCUAGAAAAUGAAGGAAGCAAAACCAUACGAUUCUACUGAUGGGAAAGUUGCUAAAAUAUAUAUUAAUGUGUCCCAGACAUGCAAAAAAAAAAAAGAGGGGAAGGAAAUUUACUGAGAGGUUAGUAGUCUCUCAGUGGCGACAUCAGGAUUUUCUAAAAAUAGUUUAUGUUGUCAGAAUUUUUCAAGAUUUGAUUUAAGUGAAAAAAACAAGCUUUAGAAAGAGGUAAGGAGUUUCUGUUGUGGCACAGCAGAAACGAAUCUGACUAGGUUCGACCCCUGGCCUCGCUCAGUGGGUUAAGGAUCCGGCGUUGUCGUGAGCUGUGGUAUAGGUCGCAGACGUGGCUUGGAUCUGGCGUGGCUGUGGCUGUGGUGUAGGCCUGCAACUGUAGCUCUGAUUGGACCCCUAGCCUGGGAACCUCCAUAUGCCUCGGGUGUGGCCCUAAAAAGCAAUAAAUAAAUAAAUAAAUGGUAAGACACUGCUGACCACAAAGGGGAUUUUUAAUGGCUUAUAAGUGAAACGACUUGGUGUUUAGCCUCUGUGUUGGAGUUUUUGAAUUGAAUGGAACUAGAUGGACUGCACUGAAAACUCUGGCUGCUUUGGUUUAGCUGGAGAAUUCUUUUUCUAGGUGAUCUUUGUGUUACGGCUUUGAACCCAGGAUACUGUCCUGCAGUGGUGCCCAGGGGUUGCGGAAUGCAGAACUGGCUUGGCAGGCAUUGCUUUGUAACCUCCCUGGUCCUUGAAGUUCCUCAUGUCCUGCCAGCAGAACCCCUUUCACCUCAUCGGAAAGGGAGUUCCUUGGAGAUGCUGCUGAGAGGAGGCUUAAAAGAAGCCCCCUGGCCCCACCAGGGACGGAGGGGUGGCUUCCUCCGGAGUGUGGUCAGGUGUUACCAGAAAUGCAAAUAAAAGCCAGUCAGCGUGGGCUGCGCCUCAGCAUCUCCCAUUCCGCCAGGCAGACUCAGGACGAUGGCGCUUGGGACGGUGGUACUUUGUAACGUGUUGAGUCAAAGGCCAAUGUUAGAUGCCCCAGUUAGACCCCUUGACUCCCCACGGAGCUAUUCUACCCACCUUCGUCAUCAGUGCCCUGAGAGUGGCCUGCCCUGGUCAGACCCAAACCCUGGUGUGUUCCUGUGUCUCACGAGGGGCCUGCGUGAUGGACUGGGGACCAGCUCAUCAGGUUCCCAGACACAGAUGCCCUGGAGGGCUGAGACUUUCUGGGGUGAAGGGAAAGGCGGCUCCCGUGAGCAUGGCUUGGGAAUUUCAGUAACGGGGGGUCAGCUCCAAGCCGACAGGAGCAAUCCCCGCCCAGAAAGACAGACCCCGUCACCACAGAUGGCAAAGGAGGGAAGCGACUCAGGGCGCCACCUUAGAUCUGAAUCCUAGGCUGGACUUUCUGCUUUUAUUUAUUCAGUCGAAAUAGCUUCGCUCUAGUUUUGAGAGAAAAGUGACACACAGCGUGCUUGCAGGCUCUCCUCCCUUGCCAUUUGCCACCCUCUCAUCCAUGUUUAAAGAGCCUGCAGGAGCCCAGGAGUUGUAUUCCUCUCUCUCUCUCUCUCUCUCUCUUUUUUUUUUUGCUUUUAGGGCUGCACCGGCAGCAUAUGGAGGUUCCCAGGCAAGGGGUCCAAUCCAAGCUACAGCUGCUGGCCUACAACGCAGACACAGAGACACCAGAUCUGAGCCACGUCUGUGACCUACACCACAGCUCACGGCAACGCCGGAUUUUUAACCCACUGAGCGAGGCCAGGGAUCGAACCUGCAAACUCAUGGUUCCUCGUCGGAUUCGUUUCCGCUGCACCACGACGGGAACUCCAUGUUUUCCCCCUCUCUUAAGAAUCUCGUUUAUGAAAGUGAACAGGGAAUUCGUCCUGCUGCUUUUUGCAAGAUGGCUGUGAAAUAUGCGCCUCUCCUGUCACACUCUUUGUGUUCUAGAAUAUGUGGGAAGGGUGAAUUUGCUGUCUCCCUCCUACAUGCCAGGUGCCUUCCCCUGCAUCUUCUUGGUUUACCUGUGUGCACAUAUCCUCACCUGUAUCCAGGUGUAUCCACAGGUGCAUUCAGUGACUUAUCCAAGGUCACCUCGUGAGUGGAGGGCAGACCUUGGUUGUUCACAAGGUCUCUUCUCUCCUACACUCUCCCCAAAGUUGAGGCUUCACCUCUGCCUUUUGCAUCAUGUCAAGGGCCGAAAGGCACCCCCUGCCUGACCUUUUGGCCUGGGAUACGGAAGUUCGUUGACUCUUGCCUGGCAGGGCCGGGAGCUGGCCCUCUUUCCCAAUCAAUGUGUAUCAUUUCGGCAAGACACCGAGUCCGCUGCUGGAGAGAUUGAUCCUCUCGUUAUUUAUCUUCCCCCGCCUGGUGUAAAUUGGUCAGCCUGAUCCUGUCCGCAUGAUAAAAAUCAUAAUGUCUCAAAUUACUUACUCAAUAAAAUGUGGGUUUGUCUAUUAUUAGUGAUCAUUAGGGUUAUAAUGCAGCAUGGAAAUUUGGAGCAAAUUAACUACAUAUGCAAGCUCAUGUGCAGUUAAUCAUACACACACAGUUCCAGUGGGCAGAAGGUUUUGCAAGAAUUGUUUCAGGAAGAAUUGCUGGGAGGGGAGUUCAGUACCCAAGUUAUUAUUUUUUCAUCUCCUGUUCCCUCUUAAUCUGGAUUUCUCAAAAGCACAUUUAUCUCAUACAACAUCGAAUCCUGCAAG